RNAcentral lists this long non-coding RNA (404 nucleotides) under Citrus sinensis (sweet orange). Its description in RNAcentral is "long non-coding RNA (CSIN_LNC003523)". The record is from RNAcentral. Lineage: Eukaryota; Viridiplantae; Streptophyta; Magnoliopsida; Sapindales; Rutaceae.
UUUAAUUUAGUGAAUUUGAAAUAAAGCAAAAGAAAUAGAGGGUAUUGGGAGGCAAAAUGAAACUGGCCAAACUGGGAUAGAGUGAGAACUCUGAGACUGAUAAGCCACUGGUGAUUAAUUCCUAAACAUUCUUCACAAGAACUUUAAUGCAGCAACAAUAGACUAGGUUGCUUCAACACUAUGUUGGGCUCGAUAGCAAUGGGCUAGGGUUUUUAAAUGACGUUACUAGCACGGUAGCAAUAUACUUGAAUGACGCUAAAAUGACAUUGUUUUUCGAUCGAUUGAGUGUAUGAUUAACAUUGUUUCUCGAUCGAUUGAGUGCAGGACUGACAUUAUUUUUUAGGGUUUGGCCUUGAGAGAGUGACGAGUAUUUGGGUGAGAAUGCUAAGCUGAAAGAGUGCUUG